UACCUGGUUGAUCCUGCCAGUAGUCAUAUGCUUGUCUCGUUGUCUCGUUGCCUGCUGUCUAAGUACAAGCCGAUUCAAGGCGAAACCGCGAAUGGCUCAUUAAAUCAGCUAUGAUUCAUUGGAUCUGUACCCACAUUUACUUGGAUAACUGUGGUAAUUCUAGAGCUAAUACAUGCCCAGAGUCUCUGACCGCAAGGAAGAGCGCUUUUAUUAGUUCAAAACCGGUCGGGCCUUCGGGUCCGUCACCCUGGUGUGUUGAAUCUGAAUAACUUUUCUCACGCACGGUCUCCGCGAGGGCCGCCUCUUUCAAGUGUUGCCUUAUCAGCUUUCGAUUGUAAGGUUACUACGCCUUCAAUGGCUAUUACGGUUACGGGUAAUCAGGGUUUUAUUCCGUUUUCCCCCCCUUGGGAACGGGUACCACAUCUAAGGAAGGCCGGAGGGACGGCAAUUACCCAACCCGGCACGGGGAGGUAGUGACCGAAAAUAACGAUGCGAGACUCAUCCGAGCCUCGCAAUCGGAAUGAGUACACUUUAAAUGGUUUAACGAGGAUCCAUUGGAGGGCAAGUCUGGUGCCAGCAGCCGCGGUAAUUCCAGCUCCAAUAGCGUAUAUUAAAGUUGUUGCGGUUAAAAAGCUCGUAGUUGGAUUUCAGUUCUGGACUGACGGUUACCGCCCGGUGAUCACUGUCACGCUCCGAACACUUUGACCAUCCGCUGGCCCACGGGGUGCCCUUUUCCCAAUUUCCCCUGGCCCGGAGAGUUUACUUUGAAAAAAUUAGAGUUCUCAAAGCAGGCUACACUGACGGCCUGAAUGCCUAUGCAUGGAAUAAUGGAAUAGGACCUCGGUUCUAUUUUGUCGGUUUUCUGAACCCGAGGUAAUGACUAAUGGAACAGGCGGGGUCAUUCUAUUGACGCUAGAGGUAAAUUCUUGGACCGUCGCAAGACGAACUACUCGAAAUCAUUUGCCAAGGAUGUUUUCAUUAAUCAAGAACGAAAGUUAGAGGUUCGAAGCGAUCAGAUACCGCCCUAGUUCUAACCAUAAACGAUUCUGACCACAUCCGCCGGAGUUAUUCCCAUGACCGGCGGGGAGCUUCCGGGAAACCAAAGUCUUUGGGUUCCGGGGGAAGUAUGGUUGCAAAGCUGAAACUUAAAGGAAUUGACGGAAGGGCACCACCAGGAGUGGCUGCGGCUUAAUUUGACUCAACACGGGGAACCUCACCAGGCCCAGACACCGGAAGGAUUGACAGAUUGAGAGCUCUUUCUUGAUUCGGUGGGUGGUGGUGCAUGGCCGUUCUUAGUUGGUGGAACGAUUUGUCUGGUUAAUUCCGAUAACGAACGAGACCCUAGCCUACUAACUAGUCGACGGAUCUCCAGCAAUUGGUGUCCAGUCGCAGCUUCUUCUUACAGGGAAACGGGCAAUUCUAGCCGCACGAGAUUGAGCAAUAACAGGCUUGUGAUGCCCUUAGAUGUUCUGGGCGCACGCGCGCUACACUGAAGGGAUCAACGUGUCCUCCCCUCCGAGAGGAGCGGGUAACCCGUGAAAUCCUUUCAUGAUAGGGAUUGGGGUUUGCAAUUGUUCUCCCAUGAACGAGGAAUUCCCAGUAAGGCGCAAGUCAUGGGAUUGCGUUGAUUACGCCUGCCCUUCGUACACACGCCCGGUCGCUACUACCGAUUGAAUGAUUUAGUGAGGCUUCGGAUUGGCGCUCUUGGAUGCCUGGCCCGCCUUCCGGUGGGCUUUUUAGGCGCCUCGAGCUGACUAAAGAUGUCCAAACUUGAUCAUUUAGAGGAAGUAAAAGUCGUAACAAGGUUUCCGUAGGUGAACCUGCGGAAGGAUCAUUA
Molecule: ribosomal RNA, 1837 nt
Filed under: Pugettia quadridens
Lineage: Eukaryota; Metazoa; Arthropoda; Malacostraca; Decapoda; Epialtidae
Description: Eukaryotic small subunit ribosomal RNA
Rfam family: Eukaryotic small subunit ribosomal RNA
Source: Rfam by way of RNAcentral